AUCGCUUCUCGGCCUUUUGGCUAAGAUCAAGUGUAGUAUGAACUCCCAUUUUUACCCCGUAUGCAGAUUUCAGAAUCACAUCGGUUACACAUCCACGUUUUUACAUAUUGCCGUACUAGUGACUGUUGUAUUCUGCUACCUUUCCUAUCCUCUACUAUCCCCCC
This 164-nucleotide small RNA is filed under the name Marmota monax (woodchuck). The stretch from base 1 to 81 matches the Rfam family "U2 spliceosomal RNA". Lineage: Eukaryota; Metazoa; Chordata; Mammalia; Rodentia; Sciuridae. The record is from RNAcentral.